RNAcentral lists this ribosomal RNA (909 nucleotides) under uncultured bacterium. Its description in RNAcentral is "bacterial SSU rRNA". It matches the Rfam family "Bacterial small subunit ribosomal RNA", at positions 33 to 924 of the family's 1533-position model. The record is from RNAcentral.
ACGCUGGCGGCGUGCCUAAUACAUGCAAGUCGAGCGAAGUUUUUCUGGUGCUUGCACCGGAAAACUUAGCGGCGAACGGGUGAGUAACACGUAAAGAACCUGCCUCAUAGACUGGGACAACUAUUGGAAACGAUAGCUAAUACCGGAUAACAGCAUUAACUGCAUGGUUGAUGUUUAAAAGUUGGUUUUGCUAACACUAUGAGAUGGCUUUGCGGUGCAUUAGCUAGUUGGUGGGGUAAAGGCCUACCAAGGCGACGAUGCAUAGCCGACCUGAGAGGGUGAUCGGCCACACUGGGACUGAGACACGGCCCAGACUCCUACGGGAGGCAGCAGUAGGGAAUCUUCCGCAAUGGGCGAAAGCCUGACGGAGCAACGCCGCGUGAGUGAAGAAGGAUUUCGGUUCGUAAAGCUCUGUUGUUAGGGAAGAAUGAUUGUGUAGUAACUAUACACAGUAGAGACGGUACCUAACCAGAAAGCCACGGCUAACUACGUGCCAGCAGCCGCGGUAAUACGUAGGUGGCAAGCGUUGUCCGGAAUUAUUGGGCGUAAAGCGCGCGCAGGUGGUUUAAUAAGUUUGAUGUAAAAGCCCACGGCUCAACCGUGGAGGGUCAUUGGAAACUGUUAAACUUGAGUGCAGGAGAGAAAAGUGGAAUUCCUAGUGUAGCGGUGAAAUGCGUAGAGAUUAGGAGGAACACCAGUGGCGAAGGCGGCUUUUUGGCCUGUAACUGACACUGAGGCGCGAAAGCGUGGGGAGCAAACAGGAUUAGAUACCCUGGUAGUCCACGCCGUAAACGAUGAGUGCUAAGUGUUGGUCUCAUAAGAGAUCAGUGCUGCAGCUAACGCAUUAAGCACUCCGCCUGGGGAGUACGACCGCAAGGUUGAAACUCAAAGGAAUUGACGGGGACCCGC